UACGGAGGAUCCAAGCGUUAUCCGGAAUCAUUGGGUUUAAAGGGUCCGUAGGCGGGACAAUAAGUCAGUGGUGAAAGUCUGCAGCUCAACUGUAGAAUUGCCAUUGAUACUGUUGUUCUUGAGUGUUUAUGAAGUGGUUAGAAUAUGUAGUGUAGCGGUGAAAUGCAUAGAUAUUACAUAGAAUACCGAUUGCGAAGGCAGAUCACUAAUAAAAUACUGACGCUGAUGGACGAAAGCGUAGGUAGCGAACAGG
Molecule: ribosomal RNA, 253 nt
Filed under: uncultured bacterium
Lineage: Bacteria
Description: partial 16S ribosomal RNA
Rfam family: Bacterial small subunit ribosomal RNA
Source: RNAcentral